UGUCGGAGUCGAGAUAACCUUAAUUUUAUUCCUUUCCUCUCCUUCAUAAAAAAGGCUGUAGCUCCCUUUCGUUCCAUUAGAAUUCCCAUUUGCCGUAACCACAGCAGCAAAGUCUAUGUUAGGUUCAACAACACACUGUUUGGGGUUCUGAUACGGGAGGAUCUGCUCUACUGAAGUUCAAGGGUUCAAUUUUAGACUCUUCUGGUGUCUCUACGGAAUCAUUGUUCCUCAAUCGAGCUUAAGGUGUAGUGUUGUAUCAAGUGAUGGCUCAAAAUGUGCAACAAUGCCUGAAGUGAAAAUUUCUUUUGAUUUCUAGUUUGAUAAGGUGUUAAACCUC
Molecule: long non-coding RNA, 337 nt
Organism: Olea europaea var. sylvestris
Lineage: Eukaryota; Viridiplantae; Streptophyta; Magnoliopsida; Lamiales; Oleaceae
Exons: 3
Source: RefSeq, a predicted model, not a curated record